GAUGAACGCUGGCGGCGUGCCUAAUACAUGCAAGUCGAGCGAACGGACGAGAAGCUUGCUUCUCUGAUGUUAGCGGCGGACGGGUGAGUAACACGUGGAUAACCUACCUAUAAGACUGGGAUAACUUCGGGAAACCGGAGCUAAUACCGGAUAAUAUUUUGAACCGCAUGGUUCAAAAGUGAAAGACGGUCUUGCUGUCACUUAUCGAUGGAUCCGCGCUGCAUUAGCUAGUUGGUAAGGUAACGGCUUACCAAGGCAACGAUGCAUAGCCGACCUGAGAGGGUGAUCGGCCACACUGGAACUGAGACACGGUCCAGACUCCUACGGGAGGCAGCAGUAGGGAAUCUUCCGCACUGGGCGAAAGCCUGACGGAGCAACGCCGCGUGAGUGAUGAAGGUCUUCGGAUCGUAAAACUCUGUUAUUAGGGAAGAACAUAUGUGUAAGUAACUGUGCACAUCUUGACGGUACCUAAUCAGAAAGCCACGGCUAACUACGUG
Molecule: ribosomal RNA, 497 nt
Filed under: uncultured bacterium
Lineage: Bacteria
Description: partial 16S ribosomal RNA
Rfam family: Bacterial small subunit ribosomal RNA
Source: RNAcentral